AAGCAUAUUAUUAAGCGGAGGAAAAGAAACUAACAAGGAUUCCCUCAGUAAGGGCGACUGAAGCGGGAAAAGCUCAUAAUGUGAAUCGAUGUCUCUGGCAUUGAGUUGUUGUCUAUAGGAUUGUGCAUUAAACAGCCGGGCGAAGUUCCUUGGAAUAGGACAGCAAAGAGGGUGAGACUCCCGUAUGCCUGGUAGUUGAAGCAGUUUCCGACGAGUCGAGUUGUUUGGGAUUGCAGCUCUAAGCGGGUGGUAAACUUCACCUAAAGCUAAAUACUAGUGAAAAACCGAUAGUGUACAAGUACCGUGAGGGAAAGAUGCAAAGAACUUUGAAAAGAGAGUUAAAGAGUACCUGAAAUUGCUGAAAAGGAAGCAGAGGAAACCAGUGUAAAGUUGUGUCAUACUUCUCUUGGUGCUUGCACUUGGAGCGCUGUGGCCGACGCUGUUACCCGCGAUUCGAUCCCAUGUAAGGAUUUCGGAUAGAGUUGAUCUCUGAGAUUUGUAUGGGGUUGGAUCAGGUGGGAACGAAAUGGUUUUCUCUCCCCCGUCUUGAA
Molecule: ribosomal RNA, 551 nt
Filed under: Anomoeoneis fogedii
Lineage: Eukaryota; Bacillariophyta; Bacillariophyceae; Cymbellales; Anomoeoneidaceae
Description: eukaryotic LSU rRNA
Rfam family: Eukaryotic large subunit ribosomal RNA
Source: RNAcentral